AUUGAACGCUAGCGGGAUGCUUUACACAUGCAAGUCGAACGGCAGCGCGGACUUCGGUCUGGCGGCGAGUGGCGAGCGGGUGAGUAAUGUAUCGGAACGUGCCCAGUAGCGGGGGAUAACUACGCGAAAGCGUAGCUAAUACCGCAUACGCCCUACGGGGGAAAGCAGGGGAUCGUAAGACCUUGCACUAUUGGAGCGGCCGAUAUCGGAUUAGCUAGUUGGUGAGGUAACGGCUCACCAAGGCGACGAUCCGUAGCUGGUUUGAGAGGACGACCAGCCACACUUGGACUGAGACACGGCCCAGACUCCUACGGGAGGCAGCAGUGGGGAAUUUUGGACAAUGGGGGCAACCCUGAUCCAGCCAUCCCGCGUGUGCGAUGAAGGCCUUCGGGUUGUAAAGCACUUUUGGCAGGAAAGAAACGUCGCGGGCUAAUACCCCGUGGAACUGACGGUACCUGCAGAAUAAGCACCGGCUAACUACGUG
This 484-nucleotide ribosomal RNA is filed under the name uncultured bacterium. RNAcentral describes it as "partial 16S ribosomal RNA". It matches the Rfam family "Bacterial small subunit ribosomal RNA", at positions 30 to 507 of the family's 1533-position model. The record is from RNAcentral.